RNAcentral lists this ribosomal RNA (248 nucleotides) under uncultured bacterium. RNAcentral's name for it is "partial 16S ribosomal RNA". It matches the Rfam family "Bacterial small subunit ribosomal RNA", at positions 523 to 769 of the family's 1533-position model. The record is from RNAcentral.
ACACGUAGGGGGCGAAGCGUUGUUCGGAAUUACUGGGCGUAAAGGGCAUGUAGGCGGUCUUGUAAGCUUGGCGUGAAAGUCCACGGCUUAACCGUGGGAUUGCGUUGAGAACUGCGAGGCUUGAGUGACGGAGAGGGAGCUAGAAUUCCUGGUGUAGGGGUGGAAUCUGUAGAGAUCAGGAAGAAUACCAAUGGCGAAGGCAAGCUCCUGGCCGAUGACUGACGCUGAGGUGCGAAAGUGUGGGGAUC